CCCUUAGAUGUUCUGGGCCGCACGCGCGCUACACUGAUGCAUUCAACGAGUCUAAAACCUGCUCUGAUAGGGGUGGGUAAUCUUUUGAAUGCGCAUCGUGAUUGGGAUAGAUGAUUGCAAUUUUUCAUCUUCAACGAGGAAUGCCUAGUAAACGCAAGUCAUCAGCUUGCAUUGAUUACGUCCCUGCCCUUUGUACACUCCGCCCGUCGCUCCUACCGAUUGAAUGAUCCGAUGAAUAUCAUGGAUUGAGGAUGCAAGUAGGUUAGCCUAUCUUCAUCUUCGAGAAGUGAAGUAAAUCUUAUCAUUUAGAGGAAGGAGAAGUCGUAACA
This 329-nucleotide ribosomal RNA is filed under the name uncultured eukaryote. RNAcentral describes it as "partial 18S ribosomal RNA". It matches the Rfam family "Eukaryotic small subunit ribosomal RNA", at positions 1470 to 1796 of the family's 1831-position model. The record is from RNAcentral.